AUAGCAAGCAUAUGAAGCCCUGAAAAAAGCAUUUAUUUUAACUAAUGAAAACCAACGCUGGAAAAGUAGGCCCAUGACAAGUAAAAAAAACGACCAAAUUUUCUGAAUAAAUAUAUAUAUCUUUAUUGAAAAUAACUUUGCAAUAAAAUAGAGUGAUGUAACCCAGACAACCGAAGAAUUUUAUACAAUCGUUUUAGACUUUAUUGUGCAUUGUUUUAACCCAUGGUCUAAUGGCUUGUAGUGUCUUGCACUUUUUUUUCCAGUGGUAUUAUGUAAGAGUCCAGUAGAUGCAGGGAUGACAUUAAAGUUCCAGUAAAACGUCACAACAAAUAAUUCCUACAUUGUAGGUAGUGUUGAUGUACGUAAGGUAUGUGCCUUAGAGAUUGCAAAAUAAAUGUCUACCCCUGGAUACAUUUUAUAAAUGAUCUCAGACAAACUGAAAGCAUGAAUUUGCACUUUCAUAGACAUUUACAAUAAACCCCAAACGUAUCCAGGAAUAUAUUCAUAUAGCAUACUAGACAAUUGUCUUUGUUUUGGGGAUGAAGUCUGUGUUUAUAAUUCCACAAGUUAAACGACCACUAUAGGCACCCAGACCACUUCAGCUUAAUGAAGUGGUCUGGGUGCCAGGUCCAGCUAGGGUUAACCCUUUUUUUUUUUUAUAAACAUAGCUGUUUCAGAGAAACUGCUAUGUUUAUAAUAGGGUUAAUCCAGCCUCCAGUGGCUGUCUCUUGACAGCCGCUAGAGGCACUUGCGUGCUUCUUACUGUGAUUUUCACAUGGUCUUAUUACACCUAAGGCACUGAUAGAUGAAUGUGUUGCUUUCCUAUUCCUUAUUUCUACUUGCAUGAAUGGGAGAUCUGGUUUUGAUGAUGGUGAAAUAUAAGAGUAGUGACAAAUACAUUAAUAGGGUUUACUAAUAUGCACAAGGGGCAUUAGUGGAUGGUGGGUUGGUGAAACAUAACACCACUCCUACAUGGUAUAUUAUGGGAAGAUGUCAAGUGAAUACAGGUAUACUUAGCAUAAAGUAGGUAAUGAUAAUACGUACAGCUAAUCAGUUGGUCUAUAUCCCAAUUAGAAAAAACAAUAUUUUUUUCUUUUAAUCAAUAUAUCGGUUUUGUUUUUUCAAACUGGAUGGGUUGCUUUGGACAUCUUUCUUAGCUAUUCUGCUCCUGCCAUGCAAGUCAGGUGAUACUGGUCCUACUUUUAACCCCCUGCCUUACGCACUAGAUAGAAUGGAGAAACCUGAACUGGAAAUUAUGUAUUUUCAUUGUAUAAAGAACAAUGCCCUCAAUUUAAUAUUUUUGGAUAUUUUUUUUUUUUUUUAAACACAGUAUUUUUCUAUAAACUUUUCAAAUGAUUUUAAUUUUUUUUUUUAA
Non-coding RNA from Pelobates cultripes (western spadefoot toad), 1375 nucleotides. The record is from the annotation of a GenBank genome assembly. NCBI's taxonomy places the organism in Eukaryota, Metazoa, Chordata, Amphibia, Anura, Pelobatidae.